UGAGAAGCUUGCUUCUCUGAUGUUAGCGGCGGACGGGUGAGUAACACGUGGGUAACCUACCUAUAAGACUGGGAUAACUCCGGGAAACCGGGGCUAAUACCGGAUAAUAUUUUGAACCGCAUGGUUCAAUAGUGAAAGACGGUUUCGGCUGUCACUUAUAGAUGGACCCGCGCCGUAUUAGCUAGUUGGUAAGGUAAUGGCUUACCAAGGCGACGAUACGUAGCCGACCUGAGAGGGUGAUCGGCCACACUGGAACUGAGACACGGUCCAGACUCCUACGGGAGGCAGCAGUAGGGAAUCUUCCGCAAUGGGCGAAAGCCUGACGGAGCAACGCCGCGUGAGUGAUGAAGGUCUUCGGAUCGUAAAACUCUGUUGUUAGGGAAGAACAAAUUUGUUAGUAACUGAACAAGUCUUGACGGUACCUAACCAGAAAGCCACGGCUAACUACGUGCCAGCAGCCGCGGUAAUACGUAGGUGGCAAGCGUUAUCCGGAAUUAUUGGGCGUAAAGCGCGCGUAGGCGGUUUCUUAAGUCUGAUGUGAAAGCCCACGGCUCAACCGUGGAGGGUCAUUGGAAACUGGGAAACUUGAGUGCAGAAGAGGAGAGUGGAAUUCCAUGUGUAGCGGUGAAAUGCGCAGAGAUAUGGAGGAACACCAGUGGCGAAGGCGGCUCUCUGGUCUGUAACUGACGCUGAUGUGCGAAAGCGUGGGGAUCAAACAGGAUUAGAUACCCUGGUAGUCCACGCCGUAAACGAUGAGUGCUAAGUGUUAGGGGGUUUCCGCCCCUUAGUGCUGCAGCUAACGCAUUAAGCACUCCGCCUGGGGAGUACGACCGCAAGGUUGAAACUCAAAGGAAUUGACGGGGACCCGCACAAGCGGUGGAGCAUGUGGUUUAAUUCGAAGCAACGCGAAGAACCUUACCAAAUCUUGACAUCCUUUGACCGCUCUAGAGAUAGAGUCUUCCCCUUCGGGGGACAAAGUGACAGGUGGUGCAUGGUUGUCGUCAGCUCGUGUCGUGAGAUGUUGGGUUAAGUCCCGCAACGAGCGCAACCCUUAAGCUUAGUUGCCAUCAUUAAGUUGGGCACUCUAGGUUGACUGCCGGUGACAAACCGGAGGAAGGUGGGGAUGACGUCAAAUCAUCAUGCCCCUUAUGAUUUGGGCUACACACGUGCUACAAUGGAUAAUACAAAGGGCAGCGAAUCCGCGAGGCCAAGCAAAUCCCAUAAAAUUAUUCUCAGUUCGGAUUGUAGUCUGCAACUCGACUACAUGAAGCUGGAAUCGCUAGUAAUCGUAGAUCAGCAUGCUACGGUGAAUACGUUCCCGGGUCUUGUACACACCGCCCGUCACACCACGAGAGUUUGUAACACCCGAAGCCGGUGGAGUAACCUUUUAGGAGCUAG
RNAcentral lists this ribosomal RNA (1398 nucleotides) under Staphylococcus sp. Its description in RNAcentral is "bacterial SSU rRNA". It matches the Rfam family "Bacterial small subunit ribosomal RNA". The record is from RNAcentral. Lineage: Bacteria; Bacillati; Bacillota; Bacilli; Caryophanales; Staphylococcaceae.